Molecule: non-coding RNA, 616 nt
Organism: Salvia hispanica
Lineage: Eukaryota; Viridiplantae; Streptophyta; Magnoliopsida; Lamiales; Lamiaceae
Source: RefSeq, a predicted model, not a curated record
CAACGAUUCAUACUUAAAUAAUAGGAGACUAUCUCACCAGCUACCUCAUCAAAGUUCUGCAUCUGAAAAAUUGAGAAGAAAAAAAUGAUAGGAAUCAACCAACAUUCUGCGAACUGAGAAAGGCACAAUCAAGUUUGAAAGAGGAUCAAGAACGCUUCACAACAACUUUAAGGUCUUCAUUUCCCCAAUAUCUCCGUUGUUCCUCUUGUAUUUUUUUUGCUGAGUACAAAAGAGAUUGGUUAUGAUCAUCGAUCUCAAUCAGUUGCAGUGAUGAAAUCAAUCCAAUAUCAUACGGAAUCUCAUCCAAGUAUGGACAACGAUGAAGCGUUAGGCACUGGAGCCUCGGAAAGUGACUACAGAUAUAUCAAAUUACCAAGUUCCUCAUCAAAGGUACUUGCGUCCCUAUCUCCCGCGCUGCUACUAAAGCUUCAACACUCAGAACCACCACCUCAACUCUAGCGAUGCACGAAUAAUUACCGGUACACAGUUCAAUUCGAGAAAACUAGAAAAUAUCCCGAUUGAACAUAUAUAUGUCUAACAAAGGAUGACUAUACAUUCUAAACAUUCUGAAUUGAUGCUCUAUUUCUUUACAAUACAAAUAUACUGAUAUUAACGA